Felis catus (domestic cat) is the source of this 5852-nucleotide long non-coding RNA. RefSeq lists it as uncharacterized. The transcript is spliced from 3 exons. The record is from RefSeq and is a predicted model, not a curated record. Lineage: Eukaryota; Metazoa; Chordata; Mammalia; Carnivora; Felidae.
GGAUUACAAGAGGGUAGGGUCAUGGGCCCGAAAUUCCUUCUCUGUUGGUGGGGUGGUAAUGGUGGAAGGUUUGUGUGUGUUGAGAAGAUACAGUGCGCAAGUGUAUGUGAGGGGAAAGGGAGGCUUGUCUCCUUUUUUAAUUUUUACUUUUUAAAGAUUUUACAGUUUCUUACUAUGUUAUAUUUUUGUACCAAUGCUAAGCAAUACACCUGACUUCAAUUUCCUCAUCAUGGCCUUUCCUCAUCUGAACUUACACAAUAUUUUCAGCUUUCCCUCCCUCCCUCCUUUCUUACUUUCUUCUCUCCCUUCUUUUCUUCCUUCCUUCAAUUAUUUAUUUCAAACAGACCUUUUAUUUUGGGAUAAUUUUAGAUUUAUAGGAAAGUUGCAAAGAUAGUACAGAGAAUCCCCAUGUACCUCUUACCCAGUUUCAAUUUCCCCUAAUGUUGUCAUCUUACAAUUCUGUGGUACUUCUUUAGGUUUUAGGUUUUAAACCCACCAAGGACUAUAUCUUGCAAGAUCUAUUAUUUCCCUGUGUCUCUCAGAAAACUGUGGCUGUUGGUGGUCCUAACUUGAAGGUUAAGCAUGUCUUCUGUUGACUGCAGACAUGUCUAGGCUUGUCCGGAGGCCAGUAAGGCCCAUCUUCCAUGGGUCGGUGAAUAGGAGGGAUUGAGGGGCCCUUUGGGAAUGAGAGAGAGGGAGGUGGAGGUGGCCAAACAGUUGACUCAAAGGCCACGGGUUGGUGUUGGAAGGAAGGAGGCUUCUGAGCUCAGCAGGAAGUAUGUGGUUCAAGAGCUUUCUCUCUCUCCUGGCUCUUUGAUCAGGGGGAGGGAGAUUGUUAUAUGACAGAGUCAUAAUCUGACCCCGUGAAAAGCAGUGAGCACAAAGACUGUGAAGCAGAACUCAGUGGGGCACGGAAGUGAUGUGGGUGAGAGGACGCUAUGCAUCUGAGAAUCAACAGGAGGAGAGUGGCCUGAACAGAGGGCCAGACCAGCCUGCAUCUGGAUGGAGAAGGAGUUUCAGGGCCAUUACUUUGUUAGGAGACAGACCCCAUAGGAGAGCCCAGAAGACAAUGUUCUCUAGCUCACAUGAGCACUUUCUUGAGGGCAGUCUGGGAAAGAGCUGGGUGGAGGUGGCAGUUUCAAGGAGUCACAAAUUUCCCCCCAAAUUUUGUGUUACUGUUGUUGUCAUUGGAACCCUGUUGCACUCUCAAGGCAGAUUGGCUGGGCAAAUAUGAGUGACAUGCAUGUUGGAGUCUGGAUGUUUGGUAAUAUUGUUGACUCACUGCCCAUUACCCUUUCACGUAAGGGAAAGUCCCCAGAGGCCAGGGCCCAAAGAGGUGAGUGUUUCCUUAGCCGGUGCUCCUCAAAGAUAUAAGUCACUCACUUGAGACAGUUGGGCACCAACUGGAGGCCAGUAAUAGACACCAAUGGUCUGACCCCAAUGCUCUCUGACUGAGAAGAGGGGCUUUCAUGUGGGAAGGGAACACCAGGCCCACCCAAAGGAGGAGCUCAGGAGAUGGGGAGGUUUGGUGAACACCACCCUCAGGAAUGAAAACAGAGAUCCAGAGUUUCCAGGGACUUUCAGGGACUAUCCCAGGGAGGAGUCAAAAUUGGGUGAAAUUUUGUAUAUUUUAGAAGAUUAUCUGUAUUGUUGUCUGUUGCUUAGUGAAGCUGUGGGUUUGUCUUUGGGAGCAGCAAGGGGUUGGGACACAAACCCAUUCUCAGGAGAAGGUAAAUGUGUAGGGUUAGCUGGGGCACAGCAGUGUGAAAGAAAGAAGUUACUAUCUGAAUAAAAAAAAAGUCUGUGCCUAUUACAUAUAUGGUUAUAAAAAACUAUAAUAGAUAAACACCAGGUGGUAUGGAGCCCAGAAGAAUGUGGCUAUUGAAAUUAGCUAUGACCAUUUAUUGUUUACUGUCUGUCGGCCACUAUGCAGUUGGAAAGUGCUUCACAUGUGUUACCUAACAAUGCUAGGAGCUGGAUAUUGAUAUUUUCUCAUUUGGUUGAUAUAGGAACUGAGGUUUGGAGAAAACAUUGAGUCACUUGUUUAAGGUCACACAGCUCAUAGAUAUUGGAGUGAGAAUUUAAAUCCAGCCAAUGGUACAUAAUGUUUAGUAGCUGUUUGACUCUCCUGCAGGAUACCAAGUCUUGGGCUCAGCGAGGUCAACUCCCUCCUGAUAGUUCUGGCUGAAUGGAUCAACUGAACUUUCAGCCAUUUGACACUUACAUUUAAUUGAUCCUGAGGCUCUGCUACGUGCUGUGGGGCCCCCACAGGGUACGAAGAAUUACUUUCUCUCAGAUACAGGGUAAUUAAGGAAAUAACUCAUUUGCAAGAAACUGUAAUAACUCACAUGGGAUUGCUGGGAGUUUUGUUCUGUGGGCCCAUGUGUGUGAGGCUAUGUGUGAGUGUGUACAUGUGUGUGUAAUGGGAGAAAGGGUGCGGGAAGAGAAGGCAACACUAUGGGGGAGGGGAAGUGAUGUGGCUCUAGCACCUGGUUCAGAGGGCACAGGGAACUCAGUGUCCUGCCUGGAUGGUGAGAUAAGAGGACUCUAUGAGCGAUGGUGAUGUUCAAAGUCAAGUGGCAGCACACUAGAAUAUCUUGGGAACUUUUAAACAUACCAAUGCCUGGGCCCUGACUGAAGAGACUGAUUUAAUUGGGCCAAGUGGGGGAUUGGAGAUAGACAAGUAGUUUCUAGACGUCUCCUUUGAGAUUCUAAUGAAUAUCUGGACUGAGAAGUGGGCAAAUGCAUGCUUCCUAGCAUCUCCUGGGCUCUCCCUGCUUUGAAUCCAAGCCACAGAUCUUUCAACAGACUUCUUGGUGCUGGGCCUCCUUGUUCUCCCUUUCGUGUGACUGCGAGGUCAGAUGACCACGUGUGUGCCUGCAAGGAGAGGCCACCACCUGUUGCUGUAAAUCUGGUGCAAUUUCAUCAUCUCUUUGCCCCAUGUAUUUUCAGUAUCUCAUAACUACAUCUGGAUGGAUAAUCUGUUGUUUUCUGCCUUGUAGCAGCUUGUGCAGUCACAAGGGGAUGUGUGCUGGGGCUUUUGCCCUGUAAAUAUAGACUGGGUGAGUUUAUUUAUAGGAAAUUACGAAGAUUACCUUUGAUUGUUAUUGGCCAGAGAAGGUUUUCAUGUAUCUCAUCUGUCCUUAAUUUGUUGUUGGGACAAGACUUUCAAAUAAAUCACUUUUGCAAAGGCCAAGUAAAUUCUAACUACUUUAGAGAAAAUUCCCUAUGUGGCAGCUUCGGUGAGGUCUGAGGGAAUGGUCAGAAAUCCUCCCAGAGCAAUGAGAAAGAUGGAAGAUCUGGGAGAGAAGAGCUUUGUCAAUGUCUUUGACAAUGCAUGAAGGCAGUUGUCCUCAAUCUUGGCCGUAUGUCAGAAUCUUCCAGGGGGUUUAAAAGCAAAAACAAAGACAACAAAAAGCCCAAACCCCAGGCUGUACCCUGGAAUAAUUGAAUAAGGGUUUCUGGGACAUAGGAGCUGACAUCAAUAUUUUUUAAAGCCUCAGAUGAUUUGAAUGUACAGCCAGGGUUAAGAAGCACUGUGUGAAGGGAUAAGAGAGGUUUAACGAAUAAGAGGGUGCCCCUGUGAGUUGCAAGGAAGAAAGAAGAGUAAGAAGUCAAGGUUAGAGAACAGUCACAUACUGCAGCUUUGGAAUGUAAUAGUUAAGUCCAGCCAGCUCCAAGAACUCAGCUUAGUCUUAAGAAACUGAUGGCCCAUCUCCAACCAUCCUUGCAACCCCCAGGUCACGAGUCAUUUGCAUCACGAGGCCUGGGGUACAUGUGACGGCUGAUGAUGAGAGCAACACCUCACUUCUUCUGUGCCCCUUGGCCCCGGGGAGAGGGGCGAGGGGACUUCAAGAUCAUUCUGAUUCUUUAUGCAGCCAGUCACCCAAAUGGAUAACUGUCAGAGGGUUGGGAAAGUGCUGUGGGGUGGGGAGGGUAUGGCUGAGAGAGCACUGGCAGACGGAUCAAGGGACACAGACAAGGCACAAGUCCAUCAUCCAAGGCCCUAGUGAACAGGUAUAGUCCGUUUGGUCAGGAUGUAAGCAAUCACCCAGGGACACUUUUAAAAGAUGUUUUAUUUUGACAUAAUUUCAAAGGUACAAAAGACUUGCAAGAUUCUCCUCUAAAGAACCACCCCCCACCCCCGACCUUCAGCUCAGAUUCACUGCUUGUUAACUUAUAACCACAUUUACUUUAUCACUCCCCCUCUCUGUCUAGAUGCACACAUAUUUUUCUGAACCUUUGCCCCUAAACACUUCAGCACAUGUUUCCUACGAACAAGGACAUUUUCUCAUUAUAACCACAGAACUGUGGAAAUAAAGGAAGACCCACCAAAUGAGAAAAGCAAAGGCUCUUUAUUCUGGCUAUAGCAAGGGAGUUGGCCACCAUCACUUGAAUUCUGGCAGAGACUCAAAGGCAGGCAGAGGAAUGGGAAAGCUUUAUCGGAGACACAGCAGAAGGCUUCAGGUGUGCCCCGACUGGAGGCUGUGGGCACGAGGAAGGUGGAGAUGGGCUAACGAGACGUGGAGGAUCCGUGUGGUUGGUCAGCGGAGCAUGUUUGACUUUCCCUGCUUGGUCCUACGUUGGAAGCAGGGACAAAAAUCAGGGAAGCUGUCAGACCCCUCUACGUCUAGUAACUCAUGGCUGUGAGACAAACAUCUUGAACAGAGAUUCUAUUGGUGUGGAACCAAUCCAUUUGAGAGUCAGACCAUUGACCUUGAUCCUGUUGGCACCAUGCCCAGCCUAAUUGUAUUUGAAGAUCAGAGGUCAGAUGGGCAUUGCGUAGAACUUCGGAGAAGAGAAACCCCAGCUGCCUACUCUUACAAGCCACAAGCAUGAAAACAGAUCCUUGUGUGUUUACAUUCUGUUUGGACACAGAAGCCGGCUCAGGAUAUCUCAGCUCUAAUCCCGGUUUUCCGGCUCACUAGCGGUGUCACCUUGGGAUGAGAGUUCUCUUUGGAGCUCGGUUGCCAUGGGGACUUUGAUUUGUCUGUUUCUAACAUCUUUGAGCUUCAGAUGUGAUUCUAGACCACCUCCUUGGCAGUCUCAACUGUCUGAAACAGCCACGAACUGGAAAGUAAGCAAAGAUUGGCACGUGUUGGUAUUGCAAAGUUUGGUGCUAGAGCAUGCCUACUUUAUCUUUAGCAGAGCGCCUAAGUCCUCACCUCGAACUCAUUUACUCUGCUUUACACUCAAGUUUAAGAAGGCUGUAUCUGACUUUCCAUGUCAGUAGGGUGGGGGUACACAUAGCACUUGAGAGGCUGCUACAGUUAGGCGUGCCGACAAGCAUAAAAGUUCAACGUCAUUCAAUUCAAUUCCAUGCAGCUGAGCUAAAGAUUCAGCCUUUCAUCAAUGUCAUCAAGGAAUGACACUGACAAGCCUGAUUCUGAAGAGAGAAGCAGAAAAACUAUAAAAGUGCAGCCAUGUGGGCCAUUUAGUGUAGAAAUAAAUAGCUCCUCUCGUGGCAAUGAGUUCUUCAGGAGUGGACAUUGGCCCUGGAGUCAGAAGACUGGGAUGGGAGUGUCGGUUCUUUUUCUUACUAAGUGUGUGAUUUUGCUUGAGUCAUGGAAACAGAGGAGCUCCAGGUUUCUUCUCUAUAAAAUGGAAACAAUCGUACCUAGGAUAGCUUCCCUUUACUGAUACAUUCUGCCGUUAGCCUGUUCGAUUCUCUCAGCAACCUGAGAAUUACAUUUCAUUCUGUAUGUGAGGACACCAAGCCUAAAGAGAUUAUUGUCUGCCCAACGUCAAAUAAGUAAGAAAACCCAUCUCUAUAUCUAUUUAUACAUGGAGGGAUUGAAACUGUAAAGGUUUUAUAAACAUGUAUUAAAAUACAGCAUGAUAAUUAAUAUUCA